UACGUAGGGUGCAAGCGUUAAUCGGAAUUACUGGGCGUAAAGCGUGCGCAGGCGGUAAUGUAAGACAGUUGUGAAAUCCCCGGGCUCAACCUGGGAACUGCAUCUGUGACUGCAUCGCUGGAGUGCGGCAGAGGGGGAUGGAAUUCCGCGUGUAGCAGUGAAAUGCGUAGAUAUGCGGAGGAACACCGAUGGCGAAGGCAAUCCCCUGGGCCUGCACCGACGCUCAUGCACGAAAGCGUGGGGAGCAAACAGG
This 253-nucleotide ribosomal RNA is filed under the name uncultured bacterium. Its description in RNAcentral is "partial 16S ribosomal RNA". It matches the Rfam family "Bacterial small subunit ribosomal RNA", at positions 524 to 776 of the family's 1533-position model. The record is from RNAcentral.